This 266-nucleotide ribosomal RNA is filed under the name uncultured Staphylococcus sp. RNAcentral's name for it is "partial 16S ribosomal RNA". It matches the Rfam family "Bacterial small subunit ribosomal RNA", at positions 96 to 355 of the family's 1533-position model. Lineage: Bacteria; Bacillati; Bacillota; Bacilli; Caryophanales; Staphylococcaceae. The record is from RNAcentral.
CGGCGGACGGGUGAGUAACACGUGGGUAACCUACCUAUAAGACUGGGACAACUUCGGGAAACCGGAGCUAAUACCGGAUAAGAUAUCGAACCGCAUGGUUCGAUAGUGAAAGAUGGUUUUGCUAUCACUUAUAGAUGGACCCGCGCCGUAUUAGCUAGUUGGUGAGGUAACGGCUCACCAAGGCAACGAUACGUAGCCGACCUGAGAGGGUGAUCGGCCACACUGGAACUGAGACACGGUCCAGACUCCUACGGGAGGCAGCAGUA